UACGUAGGGGGCUAGCGUUGUCCGGAUUUACUGGGCGUAAAGCGCGUGUAGGCGGCUUCGUAAGUUGGAUGUGAAAUCCCACGGCUCAACCGUGGACGUGCAUCCAAAACUACGUCGCUGGAGUCUCGGAGAGGAAGGUGGAAUGCUUGGUGUAGAGGUGAAAUUCGUAGAUAUCAAGCAGAACACCUGCGGCGAAGGCGGCCUUCUGGACGAUGACUGACGCUGAGACGCGAAAGCGUGGGGAGCAAACAGG
Molecule: ribosomal RNA, 253 nt
Filed under: uncultured bacterium
Lineage: Bacteria
Description: partial 16S ribosomal RNA
Rfam family: Bacterial small subunit ribosomal RNA
Source: RNAcentral